AUCCUUGCACCCCCUGGCUCAUGACUCCUUACAGCAAACCCAGGCCAGGGCCACAGUCGGAGUUUAAUUUCGCGCUUACUGCCACUAGACAGCUGGUGGAGCGCACGAUAAAGGGCGGUUCCGUGUGCUCCACCGCACUGGUGGCGACAUCAUGUAUUCGCCGGAAAAUCGUGGUCCUGUGUGCCAUCCUGCAUAAUAUUACUGUAAGGAGUCGCCUGGAGCUUCCCGAAUCGGAGGAAAUGCCAAGUGAGGAUGAGGAGCCAGGGGUUGGGCGGAGAUUCCGUGGUGGGUCCGAUUAUCAGCGAGGACACGCAUUAAGGGCACGAAUCGUGCAGGAGUAUUUCAGCUGAUUGGUCCAGCAAAAUGUGGGCAAGCACAACGGCAGAGGGGAGCGGCACCACCAGCGAGGCCACAGCCAGCCUCACCUCCAUCCUCCUCCCCACCCCAAAAUCCAAUCCCAUCCAACAUUCUUCCCCCACAUUCGAGUGGGCCGCAGAGGCACCCGAGGAGGUGGAGGGUGCUGUCCAUCCAGCAGGAGAUCAUGAUGCAGUUGGAGAUCCACCAACAAUUAGUACCAUACUGGCAAGGAUGGCACACCACCUCAGGGGCCUGCUUCAUGAAGUGGAGAU
This is a long non-coding RNA of Pseudophryne corroboree (corroboree frog), 629 nucleotides long. RefSeq lists it as uncharacterized. NCBI's taxonomy places the organism in Eukaryota, Metazoa, Chordata, Amphibia, Anura, Myobatrachidae. The transcript is spliced from 4 exons. The record is from RefSeq and is a predicted model, not a curated record.